CCUACGUGGGGCAGCAGUGGGGAAUAUUGCGCAAUGGGCGAAAGCCUGACGCAGCGACGCCGCGUGAGGGAUGAAGGUCUUCGGAUCGUAAACCUCUGUCAGCAGGGAAGAACGGUCACUGUGCUAAUCAGCAGUGAAUUGACGGUACCUGCAAAGGAAGCACCGGCUAACUCCGUGCCAGCAGCCGCGGUAAUACGGAGGGUGCGAGCGUUAAUCGGAAUUACUGGGCGUAAAGCGCUCGUAGGCGGUAUGUCAAGUCAAGGGUGAAAUCCCCGGGCUCAACGUGGGAACUGCCUGUGAAACUGGCAAACUGGAGUGUGUGAGGGGAUAGUGGAAUUCCAGGUGUAGGAGUGAAAUCCGUAGAUAUCUGGAGGAACAUCAGUGGCGAAGGCGACUAUCUGGCACAUAACUGACGCUGAGGAGCGAAAGCGUGGGUAGCAAACAGGAUUAGAUACCCCAGUAGUC
Molecule: ribosomal RNA, 465 nt
Filed under: uncultured bacterium
Lineage: Bacteria
Description: partial 16S ribosomal RNA
Rfam family: Bacterial small subunit ribosomal RNA
Source: RNAcentral